RNAcentral lists this ribosomal RNA (490 nucleotides) under Bothrops leucurus. Its description in RNAcentral is "partial 16S ribosomal RNA". It matches the Rfam family "Bacterial large subunit ribosomal RNA", at positions 1851 to 2609 of the family's 2925-position model. The record is from RNAcentral. Lineage: Eukaryota; Metazoa; Chordata; Lepidosauria; Squamata; Viperidae.
GGCGACGCCUGCCCAGUGAAAAAUUAAACGGCCGCGGUAUCCUAACCGUGCAAAGGUAGCACAAUCAUUUGUCUAUUAAUUGUAGACCUGUAUGAAAGGCAAAAUGAGAGCCCAACUGUCUCUUAUAACAAAUCAAUUAAACUGAUCUCCUAGUACAAAAGCUAGAAUACUAACAUAAGACCAGAAGACCCUGUGAAGCUUUAACUAACCUAUUAAACCCAAUAAUAGCUACUUUAGGUUGGGGCGACCUUGGAAUAAAAAAGAACUUCCAACCUAUGACUCUCUCAUAAAAAGGCAAACAAGCCUAACACUAGACCCAGCACAGCUGAUAAUCGAAACAAGUUACUCCAGGGAUAACAGCGCUAUCUUCUUUAAGAGCCCAUAUCAAAAAGAAGGUUUACGACCUCGAUGUUGGAUCAGGACACCCCAGUAGUGCAACCGCUACUAAAGGUUCGUUUGUUCAACGAUUAAUAGUCCUACGUGAUCUGAG